This 511-nucleotide ribosomal RNA is filed under the name Salmonella enterica subsp. enterica serovar Montevideo. RNAcentral describes it as "bacterial SSU rRNA". It matches the Rfam family "Bacterial small subunit ribosomal RNA", at positions 108 to 615 of the family's 1533-position model. The record is from RNAcentral. Lineage: Bacteria; Pseudomonadati; Pseudomonadota; Gammaproteobacteria; Enterobacterales; Enterobacteriaceae.
GAGUAAUGUCUGGGAAACUGCCUGAUGGAGGGGGAUAACUACUGGAAACGGUGGCUAAUACCGCAUAACGUCGCAAGACCAAAGAGGGGGACCUUCGGGCCUCUUGCCAUCAGAUGUGCCCAGAUGGGAUUAGCUUGUUGGUGAGGUAACGGCUCACCAAGGCGACGAUCCCUAGCUGGUCUGAGAGGAUGACCAGCCACACUGGAACUGAGACACGGUCCAGACUCCUACGGGAGGCAGCAGUGGGGAAUAUUGCACAAUGGGCGCAAGCCUGAUGCAGCCAUGCCGCGUGUAUGAAGAAGGCCUUCGGGUUGUAAAGUACUUUCAGCGGGGAGGAAGGUGUUGUGGUUAAUAACCGCAGCAAUUGACGUUACCCGCAGAAGAAGCACCGGCUAACUCCGUGCCAGCAGCCGCGGUAAUACGGAGGGUGCAAGCGUUAAUCGGAAUUACUGGGCGUAAAGCGCACGCAGGCGGUCUGUCAAGUCGGAUGUGAAAUCCCCGGGCUCAACCU